RNAcentral lists this ribosomal RNA (750 nucleotides) under uncultured Actinomyces sp. RNAcentral describes it as "bacterial SSU rRNA". It matches the Rfam family "Bacterial small subunit ribosomal RNA", at positions 28 to 776 of the family's 1533-position model. Lineage: Bacteria; Bacillati; Actinomycetota; Actinomycetes; Actinomycetales; Actinomycetaceae. The record is from RNAcentral.
GACGAACGCUGGCGGCGUGCUUAACACAUGCAAGUCGAACGCUGAAGCUCAGCUUGCUGGGUGGAUGAGUGGCGAACGGGUGAGUAACACGUGAGUAACCUGCCCCCUUCUUUGGGAUAACGCCCGGAAACGGGUGCUAAUACUGGAUAUUCACUGAUCUUCGCAUGGGGGUUGGUGGAAAGGUUUGUUCUGGUGGGGGAUGGGCUCGCGGCCUAUCAGCUUGUUGGUGGGGUGAUGGCCUACCAAGGCUUUGACGGGUAGCCGGCCCGAGAGGGUGACCGGUCACAUUGGGACUGAGAUACGGCCCAGACUCCUACGGGAGGCAGCAGUGGGGAAUAUUGCACAAUGGGCGCAAGCCUGAUGCAGCGACGCCGCGUGAGGGAUGGAGGCCUUCGGGUUGUAAACCUCUUUCGCUCAUGGUCAAGCCGCAACAGUGGUUGUGGUGAGGGUAGUGGGUAAAGAAGCGCCGGCUAACUACGUGCCAGCAGCCGCGGUAAUACGUAGGGCGCGAGCGUUGUCCGGAAUUAUUGGGCGUAAAGGGCUUGUAGGCGGUUGGUCGCGUCUGCCGUGAAAUCCUCUGGCUUAACUGGGGGCGUGCGGUGGGUACGGGCUGACUUGAGUGCGGUAGGGGAGACUGGAACUCCUGGUGUAGCGGUGGAAUGCGCAGAUAUCAGGAAGAACACCGGUGGCGAAGGCGGGUCUCUGGGCCGUUACUGACGCUGAGGAGCGAAAGCGUGGGGAGCGAACAGG